GAACAUGAGAGUUUGAUCCUGGCUCAGGAUGAACGCUGGCGGCGUGCUUAACACAUGCAAGUCGAACGGAGUUGAUCGGAGGAAGUUUUCGGAUGGAAUCGGAUUGACUUAGUGGCGGACGGGUGAGUAACGCGUGGGUAACCUGCCUCACACUGGGGGAUAACAGAUAGAAAUAUCUGCUAAAACCGCAUAAGCGCACGGGGCCGCAUGGCCAUGUGUGAAAAACUCCGGUGGUGUGAGAUGGACCCGCGUCUGAUUAGGCAGUUGGCGGGGUAGAGGCCCACCAAACCGACGAUCAGUAGCCGGCCUGAGAGGGUGGACGGCCACAUUGGGACUGAGACACGGCCCA
RNAcentral lists this ribosomal RNA (349 nucleotides) under Clostridiales bacterium. RNAcentral's name for it is "bacterial SSU rRNA". It matches the Rfam family "Bacterial small subunit ribosomal RNA", at positions 1 to 333 of the family's 1533-position model. Lineage: Bacteria; Bacillati; Bacillota; Clostridia; Eubacteriales. The record is from RNAcentral.